This 1206-nucleotide long non-coding RNA is filed under the name Salmo salar (Atlantic salmon). RNAcentral describes it as "lncRNA (ENSSSAG00000118907.1)". The record is from RNAcentral. Lineage: Eukaryota; Metazoa; Chordata; Actinopteri; Salmoniformes; Salmonidae.
AGGCAGCUCACGUCUGGGUUUCCCUUUGUAGUCUGUAAUAGUUUGCAAGGACUGCCACAUCCGGAAGUGAAAAGGCAGACUUUGUCGUACCCAGUGUCCUCUCUGAAGGGGUUAGUGUGUGAGGGCUCCAGCCUGCUACUUCUGAUGCUACUCCAUCUGAGAAAGAACUUGCCGAAAAACAUGACAUUCCUCUCCUUUCACCAGGACACACAUCUCAACCUCCACAUAUUUGAAGUCUGGUGGGUCAUACUGGUCAGAGGGAGCUGGGGUGCAGACACCAGACUGUGGGAGUGAAAGUUGUGGGUGUGUUUGGAAGGACGGUGGACUCAGUGGAGGAUAUCCCAGCCAAUUGGCAGUGUUGGCACUGCUACUUUCUACCUGAUGGGACGAGUUGAAGGUGGAGCAUGCCUCGUACCUGUGGAAGCACCUGGAACUCUGUGCCAUGAUGGCCGACUUCUUGCAAUUCCUGUUACUACGAAAACCGAGCUAUGUCUUCAUGUUCGCCCAUGAGGACAUCUCUCCCUUCGCCUCCCGGCAACCCUUCAAUACCUUCAAUACCUCCUCACCUUGAGGACACACACUGUGCCUGCGUCUCAAUAGUCUUGUAGGUUCCUCCUACUGGCACUUUAGUGAGGACAAUACUGUUCUGGUUAGCACUUGUCAUUAGUAUGUAGAGGCCCUCCAUCAUCAAAUGAAUGCUUUUAUGUAUCUUUUUUGUAUUUUAUUUUGUGAUACUGUUUUUACUUUCUACUGUUUUUGUAUGAGCUGCAAUGAAACAAAUUCCAAUCAACUGUUGAUAUGCCAGUCGCAAGAGUUACAGUUGUCAGUUGGUGUGAAUAAAAUAUUAUUAUUAUUAUUUCAUGUCUUGUAUAUUAACUUUAUCCUCGAGUGUGAUAAUUUCAGUAACUGCUACCUUGCUUUGGCUCUGAUGUGAUCACCCCAUAAAUCUGUAAGAAUGAAAUGCUAUGUAUGUAUGAUCUGGUUUCUGAAUGGAAUACUUUGAUGAGUGUCCUUUCAACUGGCCUUUACCUAAUUUGUCAAGACAACAUGGUUUUGUUGUCCUUUAAACUUUAAUCCAUACCUCUGAUUCAACCACAAAUGUGUCACACCCUGAUCAGUUUCACCUGUCCUCGUUAUUGUCAGCACACCUUCCAGGUGUCGCUUGUUUUCCCCACUGUAUUUAUCCCUGUUUCCUGUCUCUCUGUG